CAAACUAUAACACGGAAACUGCAGGAAUUUAUACAAAAGCUACUUAUUUUUCUUCAACAACAUAACAACAAUGGCAGCCAUGUCAAUCACUAAAAACGCCAUUUUUAACCUCUCUAAGGCUCUUCCUCGAACCCCUUCUCUCUUCCUUUGCCGCAACGUCUCCUUCUACAACCUCUCCAAGACUCUUCCUCGAAACCGUUCUCUUUUCAUUCGCCACAAAGUAUCUCGAGUCUGCUUUUCCUCUUCCCCGAAUUACUCCGAGGUAUUAUAUUUGACUAUUGCUUUCUCUUUUCAGAUGUCAUUUAUGUACAGUAAUGGAGAGUGUAAAGUGUAAAGUGUAAAGUGCAAAGGAGUAAAUCCAAACAAACAAAUGCACAUCUUAUAUUUAAUAUAAAACGUAAAAUAAAACUAGAUAGAUUCACUUCAUGUAUUACACGGAAUUAUAUUGUUUACAUCGUCAAUUUGUUUAAUACGUUACAGAAGGUUGUCUCUUAUAUUUUCGGACUAUUGAUUUUACUUGCUAUGCGUUAUUAUUUGUAGAAGUAGAAGUUACUUUUUUAGACGAUGUGGAAGAAAACUUUCAACUUUUUAGUCUAUAGUAGAAGUUAUGAUACUUGCCUUUCUUAGUAUUUUUGCCAACGUGUUCCAAAGAUAAUACUAGCAUUAAAUUAUGUUAGGACUCAACUAUUUUCAAUUUUAUGUUGAAG
This 707-nucleotide long non-coding RNA is filed under the name Nicotiana tabacum (common tobacco). RNAcentral's name for it is "long non-coding RNA (NTAB_LNC009996)". Lineage: Eukaryota; Viridiplantae; Streptophyta; Magnoliopsida; Solanales; Solanaceae. The record is from RNAcentral.